GAUGAAGAACGUAGCGAAAUGCGAUAAGUAAUGUGAAUUGCAGAAUUCAGUGAAUCAUCGAAUCUUUGAACGCACAUUGCGCCCGCCAGUAUUCUGGCGGGCAUGCCUGUUCGAGCGUCAUUUCAACCCUCAAGCUCAGCUUGGUGUUGGGACUCGCGGUAACCCGCGUUCCCCAAAUCGAUUGGCGGUCACGUCGAGCUUCCAUAGCGUAGUAAUCAUACACCUCGUUACUGGUAAUCGUCGCGGCCACGCCGUAAAACCCCAACUUCUGAAUGUUGACCUCGGAUCAGGUAGGAAUACCCGCUGAACUUAAGCAUAUCAAUAAGCGGAGGA
RNAcentral lists this unclassified non-coding RNA (333 nucleotides) under soil metagenome. Its description in RNAcentral is "partial contains 5.8S ribosomal RNA, internal transcribed spacer 2, and large subunit ribosomal RNA". The stretch from base 1 to 120 matches the Rfam family "5.8S ribosomal RNA", at positions 35 to 154 of the family's 154-position model. The record is from RNAcentral.